RNAcentral lists this transfer RNA (75 nucleotides) under Candidatus Berkelbacteria bacterium CG2_30_43_20. RNAcentral's name for it is "tRNA-Lys". It matches the Rfam family "tRNA". Rfam says of the family: Transfer RNA (tRNA) molecules are approximately 80 nucleotides in length. Their secondary structure includes four short double-helical elements and three loops (D, anti-codon, and T loops). Lineage: Bacteria; Candidatus Berkelbacteria. The record is from RNAcentral. RNAcentral also lists the same sequence under 2 other names.
GGACCUGUAGCUCAGUGGUAGAGCAGGAGCCUUUUAAGCUCUGUGUCGUGGGUUCGAUCCCCACCAGGUCCUCCA